AUGCUCGCUUCAGCAACACAUAUACUAAAAUUGGAACUAUACAGAGAAGAUGAGCAUGGCCCCUUGUGCAAGGAUGACAUGCAAAUCCAUGAAGUGUUCUGUAUUUGU
Molecule: small nuclear RNA, 108 nt
Organism: Nomascus leucogenys (northern white-cheeked gibbon)
Lineage: Eukaryota; Metazoa; Chordata; Mammalia; Primates; Hylobatidae
Source: Ensembl